Molecule: ribosomal RNA, 400 nt
Filed under: uncultured Alphaproteobacteria bacterium
Lineage: Bacteria; Pseudomonadati; Pseudomonadota; Alphaproteobacteria
Description: bacterial SSU rRNA
Rfam family: Bacterial small subunit ribosomal RNA
Source: RNAcentral
UUUGGGGGCACCGAGGUGCGCUUGUUACAUGCUGAUACCUGCCAAGGGUGCCGUACGUAAAUUCAGCCUGUGAUUUUUCUGGGAGGGGCUUACACCUUCGGGGCAGUUGAGCGUGGGCAAACUGGGAGUAAUACCGUAUGUGCCCUUCGGGGGAAAGAUUUAUCGCCAAAGGAUUGGCCCGCGUUGGAUUAGGUAGUUGGUGGGGUAAUGGCCUACCAAGCCGACGAUCCAUAGCUGGUUUGAGAGGAUGAUCAGCCACACUGGGACUGAGACACGGCCCAGACUCCUACGGGAGGCAGCAGUGGGGAAUCUUAGACAAUGGGCGCAAGCCUGAUCUAGCCAUGCCGCGUGAUCGAUGAAGGCCUUAGGGUUGUAAAGAUCUUUCAGUUGGGAAGAUAAU